Molecule: long non-coding RNA, 938 nt
Organism: Rhinopithecus roxellana (golden snub-nosed monkey)
Lineage: Eukaryota; Metazoa; Chordata; Mammalia; Primates; Cercopithecidae
Exons: 3
Source: RefSeq, a predicted model, not a curated record
CAUUGCACUCCAGCCUGGGCAACAAGAGCGAAACUCCGUCUAAAACAAAACAAAACAAAACAAAAACAAAACAAAAAGACAAACAAAAAAGGGGUUUCAGUAGGAAAUGAAAAGCGAGGAUAACGAAAGUGGUAUCUUCAGAGAUAAAGGCUAAACGGUUUCCAAAAUUCAACAAAGACAUAUCCUCAGAAGCUCAACCUUUUCAAAAGACAAGGGUGCUGCCUUCAGGAGGCCUCAGAAUCUAGGAAAAGGAGCAAGACUCAUCAACAAUACAAGAGCAACGCACUAUUGGCAUUGACACCCAUGUACAGAACAAAACCAAGUAGGGAAUAUCCACUGGAGUUGAAGGAAGAAGCCUAAAGCUGGGGACUCUAUCAUUAGAGAAGACUUGAAGGAGAAAGAGACAAGGCAAAUUCCAGAGUCACUGUUAAAAACAUUUGAAAGCAAAUUUUCCAGCGACCAAUGAAUGGAAGCAAUCCAUGCUAAGAAGGACACCAGUGAAGCCCUGUAUGGUAAUGUUACCAACAAACCAGAACACAGACAUCACAGGCUCCUCAUCACUGGACCGAAGAGUUACUCCCACAGGGAAAGACAAUGGGAGGCACUGGGCAAAUGCACCUUGGCUGCUAUGGUGAGACAAAAACUCUCCUUUCUGCACCUCUUUAAAAUAUGUCUAGAAAAUAUUAGUCAAUGAAACAUUUGUAACAUUCUGAAGCAUGACUUUCCUGAAUGCAAAAUAUCCAAGACAUGUUUCAGGCUCAGGGCCUUUCCCUUCUGUCUUCUUGGAAUACAGACAUGUCAGCAUGGCGUGCUGGUCAUGCUCUUUAGGUCUUUGUUCCAACUGUCACCUUCUCCCUGGAAUUCUAUUUAAAACUGCAAUAACCUGGCCAGGCACGGUGGCUCACACACCUGGUAAUCCUAGCACUUUGGGAGGCCAA